Passer domesticus (house sparrow) is the source of this 2905-nucleotide long non-coding RNA. RefSeq lists it as uncharacterized. The transcript is spliced from 4 exons. The record is from RefSeq and is a predicted model, not a curated record. NCBI's taxonomy places the organism in Eukaryota, Metazoa, Chordata, Aves, Passeriformes, Passeridae.
CUCGCCCAAAAUGGCGGCGCCGGCCUGAGGGGCGCUCGGCUCCCUCACGGGGCAGGCCCGCGGUGCUGUGUUCUGUCACAGCGGCGGCGUGAGCCGUCGAGGGGAGUAACAACAACGAUUUCUAAGGAAGUUACAACAGAGACUGAAACAGUCCAACAAAUGGCAAACGCGUAGUCAAGCCCCAGUAAAUGCUUAUACAUAAACAUGACGUAGUAGAUUAUUUCUAUUAAAUUAAAUUAUCAGGAGAUAUUAUAUGCUUAUUAUCCCAUAGCAACGCGGUUUGGGACCAGGUCACCUUUAAUGUCCAUAUGUUUCUAUGAUCUACUGGGGAAAAGCUUUUAAUGACGCUAAAAGAUCAUUUAAAUUGACAGCAAAAUGAACACGGUCAGGCCCAAAAGUGACACAAGAUGGCGCCCAGAACCACAGGCAGAGCCAACCUGAGCAACACCCUGACUCCCAGGUGGUGAGGUCCAAAUUGAUCUAAAAGUGAAUAAAGUUCCUGUGUGGCUGACAGACCUUCCACUCAAGCAUGGCUAUAUUGCAUUUUCUUAUAUUGAGGUAAAGCAGAAAAGCAAUGGAGCAGCAAGAGCUGGCUGCCCCAUAGAGGGCAGGAACCAAGCAUAAUAACACAGGUGGUGGGCCAGAGCCUCACUGCCCAAGCCCAGUCCCACAGAGCCUGAGCAAGGCAAGCAGGGAACCCUGGAUUCAGACAGGAGUACAGAGCAUCAGGCAAGUAACAAGGCAGGUCCAAGGUCAAGCUGUGAAGGCAGUCCACAGGCCAGGGAGUGAGCCAGUGAGAACCAGGGUCAGACAUCCAGACAUCACUAGCAAUUGCCAUGAAGGUCCACACUGAUAAGAAAAGACUGAGGUCAAGCUAGGAAGUCAGUCUGUGACUCCAGAUAAACAUGGUGUGGCACAGUCGUGGCUGAGCUGUGGACACACACGGAUACAGGUCAGGCAUGAGCUGAAUGCAGAGGGCUUGGCUAAAGUGGGGCUCCUGAGCCCAUGGGAGGGGUCAGGUGAAGAUUGUUGGGGCUAUUAAGGCCUGUUAGGAUGUUUAGGAUCCUGACAAACUACUUAGGAUAAGUGAGAGUUGACAAGAGGAAUCAGAAGGGUUAGUGGUAAUCUUUAAAUCAAACAAAGUUUUCACAAGUCAGUAUUAAUAGCAUGUCUUUCCUAGGCUUAGAUUUUGGCCCAAAUAGAAAAGUAAAGGUAGAAUAUCUGAGAUGAUUACAAAACCAAAAUUAGCUGGCCUUCCACAUGGAAGGCAGAAGCUGAAGGACAGAAUGCAUCUCACAUCCUUUUGGGUGGAUCUUAUGUUUAUAUUUGGCAGAGUUGUAGUAGGUUCUCACUGAUAAGUAAUCAAGGAGUGAGAAUCUAAUAACAGAGUCAUUUCUGUCAAGAUAGCAUUUGCCUUCCACUUGGUAGGACACUGAUUUGUGAUUCAUCUAAAACAUCACAUUCUGGAUCUUUUCCUUCUUAAUCCUAACUCUAAACCAAACUUUUGGCUAGAGAACUAGGAUCCUUACAGACUACAUAUAUGUUGGGAUUCCAAGGAGAAAACUCAUGUGAAUUUUUAUCAGUGAGUGCAUGAAUGCACAGAGUUUCUGCAGCUUGUAGCAGUUUUACUUAUUAGAUGUAGUUACAGGGAAUUUUGUAGUAUCCUGUUGUGGUGCAUUAAGUUGUUUCUAUCAGUUUCUUAUAAUUCAGUGUGAGUCCAGAACAUUAGUUUGCUUCAAUUCAUAUGCUUUAUUUUAUGUUUUAUGAAUCUUUAGUUUGUAUUUUAGAACUUUAGUUUCUUCUGAAAAUAAGGCUAUAAUCUUCUGAUUCCCUUUUUUUUUUUUUUUCUUGGGUGGUUGUUUUAUCUGCACUGCUGUCUUUCUUUGAACUUUUUUCUUGGAGACACCAGUUUUCUUAUAGGGUGUAGCACAUUCAUUUGGGAACAUGCAAGAAACUUUUUUAUAGGAUUGAAUUUUUGUAUUUUAUUUUUUCUCAUUUUAAAUUGAAAUAGUAUAUUUGCUUGGUUUGGCUACAUUGACCACAUGAAGAACAGCUAUUCAGUGAGCUGAAUGGUGAUCUUUAUCACUUUUGACUUACUUUGUUUACUUUGAAUUUCUGGGACCUUAAAUUACCUUAAUCUUAAAUUCUCAGUUCCUGAAAUUCAGCUUCUACCGUUUGUUUUUUGGCAGCAGCUGCAUCUGAAUUAGGCUUCAGGCAAUCAUGUUAUCCAGCUUCUUUGAAUACCAUCCAUACUUUGUUCUUAGUUGUAGAAAUAUUUAUCAUCUUUCCAACAAACUUUUUGAUAUUUACAAAUGGAAUAGCUAUUUCAUACUCUCAACCAUCCACAGUAAACAUCUGGCAAAGGAAGAAUUACACACUAGAACCCUUUGUCAAAGUGCCUAUAAGGAACUGAGUCUUUUAUGGAGAAGGGCCUUGGUAUUUUAGACAGAACUCUUCACUACACUGAUGCUCCUUUUUCAUUACUUACCUCUGAAUGUACACCUCAUGGCUGCAUUAUUCAUUAUUUACCUCUGAAUAAUACCUUGUUCAUUAUUUACCCUCAUGGUUGCAUUGUCUGUGGUAAAACAAUUCCGGCCAGAAAGAGAUAAAAUCUUUGAUUUACAUUCUCCUUUUCAGCCAGUUACAAAGUGGCUUCGAAGUUGAGCAAGAACUGACAAAACAUACUGAAAGGAUAUGGCAGAGGUGCCUGGUAACUGACUAUUCCUCUCUGGGGCAUUUAUUCAAACUGAGAACAAAUACAAUUUAUGCAGAAGCAAUGCAGAUAUUGAUCUCACAGCUCCAGUGAUAUGACCCAGCAUUGUACUGGCCUUGGAGGAAACAGAACUUUCUUGCAGAAUUUCUGUCAAACCAGAUUACAGUUAUAAAUUGCAUUUCAACAAAACCA